Long non-coding RNA from Lathyrus oleraceus (garden pea), 1152 nucleotides. RefSeq lists it as uncharacterized. The transcript is spliced from 2 exons. The record is from RefSeq and is a predicted model, not a curated record. Lineage: Eukaryota; Viridiplantae; Streptophyta; Magnoliopsida; Fabales; Fabaceae.
ACCUGGCAUGAUACUGUUUUUUCUAUUUUCAUGUUAAGUCAAUUAUUGUCAAACCCAACCAAAUCAAACCUCCAAUAUUUUUUAAGGAUACUCAACUACAUCAAACAAACCCAACUCAAGGACUUCUCUUCACGUAUAAAUCAUCACAAACAUUAACUUGAUUCACUAACUCCGAUUGGGGAACUUUCAACACUACCCGAAGCUCCAUAACUGGCUCAUACUUCUUCUUGGGCACAUCUUUGACAUGUUGGAAAAGUAAAGAAUAACAUGUGUUAUUCUGGUUAUCCUCUAAGGCGAAAUAUUGCACUUUGGUUAAUUCAACUUGCGAGGUAUGCUAUUCACAUAGAAAAUAAUCAUGUUUUCAUGAACAAACGAAACAUAUAGAGAUAAAUUGUCAUAUAGUUCAUGAUAAAGUCCAAUCAAAAUUGAUUAAUCUCAUGCCAAUCUCUUAUACAAAUCAAGUGGCUGAUUUCUCACCAAAGCUCUCCACCUUGGUCCAUUUUCUGUUUUGUGUGAUAAACUUGGACUACAUGAUAGAUUUGAGUUUGAAAGAGAGUUUCUAAAAUACAUACACUUUGAUCUUUAUUGCAUUUUAUAUUUUAGGAUAUUUGUUAUAAUCUAUAUUUUUUACUAUUGGUCUCAGUUUAAGUUUGUUUCAAGUACCUCUAAGUUGUAGUUAGUUACUAUAGGCCAAUAUAAAUUUAAGAGAGAUACUAGAUGUAAGCAUAGUUUUUUUACAUUAAUAUUAUUUCUUAUUUUUUCAUUUGCAUUAUCUUUAGAAUAACGUCUCUCUCUCUCUCUCCCCUUUUAUCCACCACACAUGUUGCUCGCUGCAGAUUCUUCUUCCUCCAACCAACCACAUGCAUAUCAACUGCUUCUCUCUUGUUGUAUAAUAUUUUUCAUGGAUUUUGAUUUUGGGGGGAUUUCUUCCAUUUAUGUUAAUUUAGAGAACAUUGUGUGAGAUUCUUCUUGGGAUUGUGCUCUUGUAAGUUGUAUUGUGAAUUUAGAGAAUUUUGAGAAUGUUUCUCUUUUUUAUUUUCAUUUUACUUUUAUGGAUCUUUCAAUGUAUUCUUUUAUUUUGCUUUGUUAUGUUGUUGUGCUGAAAUUUUACUUUGUUCUUUAAUUGUACUUUUCUGCAACAUUGUUCAAUUA